UGAGCUAAGUACUUCAGAACCUUGAGUACAAAAGUACUAAUGACCAGAACUGCUAAUUAGAGAGCAGCGAGGAAGUUUGAAAAUGAUGUGGAUGUUCAUCAUUUUAUUACUCUACGAAUUGACAGCAUUUGAGUGUUCUUCUCCUUUUGUAUAUCUAGAUUGACAUUAAAUUUUGGAGCUUUUCUAAGGGCAGCUCAGUGUAUGGAAGCGAGUAGAUAAGAACAUCAUUUUUAAAUUUCUAGAAGGUGACAUGGAUUCAGCUGGGAUUUAUAAGUGUUGAUGUAAGUAUUGUAUAAAAGUGAAGUUGUAUGCACCAAAUUUAUUGAAUGCGGCAGAGAAUUAAUUUGCAAGGUUUUGCUUCAUCAGAUUUCUCUUCUUUGCAAGUACUUGGGAUAUGUACAUAGUACUUGAUGAAGAAUACAUGUUGGUAGUCGUUGGUUAACUCCUGCUUUUCAUUUUGUGCAGUGAGGUUGUUAUGGUAUAAUGUUCACCUAUUCUCUAAUGGAUUCAAGAGUACAAGAAGCAUUAACGCAUGGGCAAAAUCCAUAAUUCUACUGCAGCACCUUUAUUCACUAGCCAUUUUUUGCAAACAAUUAAAUUUAUUACAGCUUCCAAAUACUUCCUGCAGAUCAUGGUAAUUUUAUAAACAUCUAGAUUCCGUUUCUGCAUCUAUUGUAGUUUCGUUUCAGAUGCAACCUUCAAUCAACUAUAAAUAUUUUAGUUUCUCAUGGCCGGUUUCUUCUUUGCCAGUCUUUCUCUUGUGUUUGUUCAAAAUAAGGUGUACAUUGCCUAUUGUCUAUUGUAUCAAUGUAGUAUCCACCGUGUUCAAUAAAUGUUCCUGAAUGAGAGAACACCUUUGCAUGGCAGGAAACAGAAACUGUGGAACAGUAUGAACUGGCCGCCAUGUGUGAUAUGCAAUCUUCCAGCAAUUCCGGGGCUGUCGCAGUCAACGCUCUGCUCUCAACUGCCCAUCUACCGGCCCACGAUUCACUAUGCCAGAUGAGAAACACUCCGAUUAGUACUGUUGUUGCUUAUGUUCGAAGAUAUUGUGUCACGCUAUGUCUAAUUUGCAUACUAUUCAGAAAAGGGUAGAAUUUGUCGUGUGCAGGGGCUCAGACUUCUCCAAGGACUACGAAGGGGCCUCCCUGUAAAUGUUGAUGUCCUACAACCCUGCCGUGCACUUUUUCCUCUUCCUCAAGCAGUGGACCGAUAGCAUCCUCGCCGGCGCUCUCAGCCUCCUUAGGCUCCUCAUCUUCAAGUUUCUGUCUUGGUUUCGUUUCAACAUGAUGUCCUUUGGUGAUUUUGCCUGGAUUCUCAACUAAUCCAACAUGAACCUAUGCUUUGGUUAGUUCUGUGUGCAGGUUUAUGCGGAUGGAACUGACAUCAUGUACACUCACAAAUGGUGAAGCUGGCAUUAGGGAAUUAUACGGUAAAAAUCAAUACCAUUUGUACAUAGCUGAACUGAAAGAUGGAUUAUUUCGCUUAGGAUUGUCUGGUGUUUGGACUUGUGAUAAUGAUACACAUUGUUUGCAUCUGUGGUAUUUCGUUGGAGCAGUUGUAGGAUGUAAUCAGCGAUGCUGAUGACAAGGCAGAAGGCAGUCUGCUCAGAGGGGUAAAGGUGGAGACACGAAGCAGAGAAUAGCAAGAUGCUGAUUGAUACAAAGCAGAGGAGAGCAAGAUGCUCAGAGGGGUAAAGGAGGAGACGGGAAGCAUAGGAGAGCAAGAUGUUGAUAGAUGAGGAGUGCGGGAUCUGCAUGGAACUGAACAACAAUGUGGUAUUGCCCAACUGCAGUCAUGCCAUGUGCUAAUGCUUGCUGCAAGUUAGUAGUAACUGUUCAGAUCUCUUGUCCCAAAGGAUGGUGCUAAUACUUGUACAAGUUCGGUUCAGUUUAGUUAUAGCUUGUAAGAUUUUUUUAUCCUAAUGUCUUUUGCACAAACAAUAUUUCUUUUACUGAGCUUAGUCUUAGUGCAUUUUACUACAAUAUAAAUAUCAGAUUGGUCCAACUCAUAUAUUUCUUAUUUCUGUAGUGUGACGCCUUAAGAUUUAGAAGACAACUUUGUCUAGAAAAACUCACUUUUGCUAUUGCAUCUAAAUGGUGUCAAUGUAUGUCGAACUGUAACCAUGGAAAUCUAAUGUUUAGGUCACAAUUGUCGGGCUAGGCAUGUUGCCGUG
Lolium perenne is the source of this 2173-nucleotide long non-coding RNA. RefSeq lists it as uncharacterized. NCBI's taxonomy places the organism in Eukaryota, Viridiplantae, Streptophyta, Magnoliopsida, Poales, Poaceae. The record is from RefSeq and is a predicted model, not a curated record.